ACCGCGAAUGGCUCAUUAAAUCAGUCGAGGUUCCUUAGAUGACACGAUCCUACUUGGAUAACUGUGGCAAUUCUAGAGCUAAUACAUGCUUACCAAGCUCCGACCCUCGUGGAAAGAGCGCUUUUAUUAGUUCAAAACCAAUCGUCGUACACCCUUCGCGGGGUGUGCGGCGUCCCCACUGGUGACUCUGGAUAACUUUGUGCUGAUCGCAUGGCCUCACGUGCCGGCGACGCAUCUUUCAAAUGUCUGCCCUAUCAAAUGUCGAUGGUACGUGACAUGCCUACCAUGUUUGUAACGGGUAACGGGGAAUCAGGGUUCGAUUCCGGAGAGGGAG
This 334-nucleotide ribosomal RNA is filed under the name Candaharia aethiops. Its description in RNAcentral is "SSU rRNA". It matches the Rfam family "Eukaryotic small subunit ribosomal RNA", at positions 86 to 394 of the family's 1831-position model. Lineage: Eukaryota; Metazoa; Mollusca; Gastropoda; Stylommatophora; Parmacellidae. The record is from RNAcentral.